This 391-nucleotide unclassified non-coding RNA is filed under the name soil metagenome. Its description in RNAcentral is "partial contains 5.8S ribosomal RNA, internal transcribed spacer 2, and large subunit ribosomal RNA". The stretch from base 1 to 122 matches the Rfam family "5.8S ribosomal RNA", at positions 35 to 154 of the family's 154-position model. The record is from RNAcentral.
GAUGAAGAACGCAGCGAAAUGCGAUACUUGGUGUGAAUUGCAGAAUCCCGUGAACCAUCGAGUCUUUGAACGCAAGUUGCGCCCGAAGCCAUUAGGCCGAGGGCACGCCUGCCUGGGCGUCACACGUCGUUGCCCCCCCAUCUACUCCUUCGGGAUUGCGGGGGGCGGAUGAUGGCCUCCCGUGCGCCUCGUCGCGCGGUUGGCAUAAAUGCCAAGUCCUCGGCGACGCACGCCACGACAAUCGGUGGUUGCGAAACCUCGGUUGCCCGUCGUGUGCGGUCGUCGCGCAUCGAGGGCUCGAAAAAAUUGCCGGGCUCCGGCUCGGCUUUCAACGCGACCCCAGGUCAGGCGGGGUUACCCGCUGAAUUUCAGCAUAUCAAUAAGCGGAGGA